UUCAUUUUCACUGAUUCUCCACCUGUCCCUUGCCCUCUUCUCCUCCCAACCUCUUUGUCGCCGAUCGCCAUCUCCGCCCUAGCAAUGUCAUAGUCGUUGGCCAUGUGGGAGCCGCUGUCACAGCCUUUAGUUAUGCCAAGCCCAAUGACCGAUCCACCUCUCAUUCUUCAUUGCGUCGUGCCCUAUAUGAUCACCGAUGUCGCUGGUCUUUGUGAGAGUUGCGAAUCUAGUCUCCACCGUCGUCUCCUAAUGUUGCCGACGCCGAGCUCUUUUCUGAUCCAUCACUGUUGCUGCCUCUCGUUUCUUGUAUUGGUUGGGUUUCCUUCACAAGCAUGGGUUGUCGUCGUGGCCCCUCUCUGGCCACGAGUCUCCAUCUCCCCUUUGGUUGUGCCCUAGCUUGGAUCCAUCGUCAUUGCCGCUCUCUUCCAUCCCACAGCCAUAGCUGACCACCAGAAAAGAAGAGGUUUUUGAUUCAAGUUAGGAGCCCAUAUUAGAAGACAUUCAGUGCGACCUACACAUAAUGUUAGCAGGUAGAUGAUGUGUCGUGUCAUUUGGAAGUCCUGGCUGCCAGUCUCACGUCACACUCGAGAUUGUGUUUUCCAUGUUGUUUCUAUUGCUAUUUUUGUUCUAGUUUUUAUAUUUAGUUGUGCAAUAAUUAAUUUUAUUAUGGUUUUCGUUUUGUUUUGUGAUAUAUUUUUAUUCAGUCAUGGUAUCUAUGGUUGAGUUAAGUUAUACUGGUAUGCAGUGGUGUUAGUUUCUAUAUUUUUUGGAGCAGAUUGGGUGAAUCCCUCCCUUGUGUAUGUUUUCUAUUGUUUGUUGUGGGAUUGUGUGUAUCCUUUUGCCUAUUGUUGGUAUGUUUGUUUUUAUAUUCCA
Long non-coding RNA from Zingiber officinale, 873 nucleotides. RefSeq lists it as uncharacterized. The transcript has 3 exons. NCBI's taxonomy places the organism in Eukaryota, Viridiplantae, Streptophyta, Magnoliopsida, Zingiberales, Zingiberaceae. The record is from RefSeq and is a predicted model, not a curated record.